Molecule: non-coding RNA, 930 nt
Organism: Salvelinus sp. IW2-2015
Lineage: Eukaryota; Metazoa; Chordata; Actinopteri; Salmoniformes; Salmonidae
Source: RefSeq, a predicted model, not a curated record
GUUGUUACCCCCAAGCCAUAAGACUCCUGAACAGGAGAGAGAGGAGAGUCUCCGCCAAGAAUUUACGACCUGAGAUAACAGCACCUGGGUGUAGGAGUCAGAGAGGGGGAAGCYACGAUCUACACCCAGAAAGGGCCACGUCAUGACAACUGUGAUGCUGGAUGUGCAUGAUGACACCAGUGGUGUGUCAGAUGUAGGCCUACAUCACAAUGACAUAGCUGUAAUAGUGGAUGCCGGCCGCUGCUGAUUCCUUGCUUCUCACUAGGCGAUGUUGCCACACCUCAGCUGAGCAGAGGAUCCAAUAUGACAAACCAUGCAGCAAUUUCUCAAUGGUACAGCUUCUUGGUUAAAUACAAAGGUUCUCUUUCAUUUUCUCCUCUACAUUUGGAUUGACAAUGGUGCUUGUGUGCAUCUAAUAUAGUUUAUGAGCUUUGAUUUGAAGCAUAACCAUACGGCUUUAGAAGUAUAACACAGAAACUAUAGAUAACGCUAUCCAGAAAUCUUACAUACUGUUUUCUGAAAGUUAUUUUAAAACUGUAAAUCCUAAAGAAAAUUAUCCAACUUGUAACUCUGAUUUGGACUAUCGGUUUCUGUCAAAACUCCCACACUGAUGAAAGUAAUAUUGUGGAAAGCCUAGAUAUGGAACAGCUUGGAUGUCAUCAGUCUUUGGGCAAGUCAUCGUGAGGUUAAAUCACGUCCUCUGCCUCUCUUACUCCUCUCUGUCACUUCUCUCCUCUACACGUGGUCAUUGCUUCAACAUUGCUUCAGCACGUGGACAUUGCGGCCCUCCUGAUCAAGUUCAAAUGAAGUGUUCAGUAUUCUCUGAUUCUCAACACAAGCAAGAGAGCUCUCAUACAUUGAGUAUACCAAACAUUAGGAACAACUUCCUAAUAUUGAGUUGCACCCCCUUUUGCCCUCAGAACAGCCUCA